CUUUCCGCGAGACUCCAAAAAACACGACUUUUCACUUUUCUUUGAAGCUUAAACGAUGCAUAGACGAAGUUUCUCCACGGUUUAACGAUUGGUUCGCUUGGCGCUGUUUAACGAAUUGGCAGUUGACUGCAAGCAGCCAGCUAAUCUGAAUCUACUAUCGUAACAAUCUGUCAGACUGCUGAAAUCUGAAUCGUCUGGCACUCCGUGUUUCAUAUCGACAUCACAUCGAUAACUUUGAAUUCAAAGCCCUGGAACUCAAGUCGAAAAACAGGUUUGACAAGCAAAACAGUUUAUUUCAGUGUGAACAAAUUUUUGUGGUUCCACUCAAAUUAACUUUGGAGCCGGUUUAUUGAAAAUGUUCGAAAUUGUUUUGGCUGAACAAAACACAACAUGAAUGAAAAAAAAUAUCUUUAUCCAUCUGUGGGAGAAUUUACCAAAAAUGUUAAAAAGUUGUAUAGUUGGACCAGAGGUGACGACUUGCAUGCCUAGGCGUGCGCGAGGAAACUAUAUAUAGCCGAAGAAUUAAAAAUUUUCUGUAGGCAACCGAUCUAAAUGAAUGAUAUACCAAUUUAGUAUGAACAACUUGGGACCUCAGCCUUGGAAAUGAGCCCCGGAAAAAUGGAGAAAUGUCUGUUUUCUUUUUAAAAAUAAAUUUUUUUAAAACGGUUUUGUUCAUUAAUGUGUUGCAAAAUUAUGACAUUUUUUUGUCCCUUAAUAUGUUGCAAAAUGAUGAAGAGUGGAAAAUUCGAAAUUGAAUUCAAUUCAAUUGUUCAAUUCAAUAUUAUGGGGCUUAAAAUAAUUGAAAUUGAAAAGUAAUUGAAUAAUUGAAAAGUAAUCUUACUAGGUUAACUGAACUUAAUCUUACAAAAUUAGAGACAAACAAUUCAAACUUAAUCUUUUUUACUCUCCUUCCACCGCUGUCCAAAGCUUUUACGACAGGAGGAGGAGGAGCGCCUCAUGUGAAAAAACAUAGUCUGUGCAACCGUUUACUCACCGAGGAUGAACACCGCCACCAGAGCUUCAUCUCCUCCAAGCUUCGCUAAGUAUCCAAGUCAAAAACGUUGAAUCUUAAAAAGGGGAACUGGAUUCCCCAAAA
Molecule: long non-coding RNA, 1096 nt
Organism: Drosophila ananassae
Lineage: Eukaryota; Metazoa; Arthropoda; Insecta; Diptera; Drosophilidae
Exons: 4
Source: RefSeq, a predicted model, not a curated record